RNAcentral lists this ribosomal RNA (532 nucleotides) under uncultured bacterium. RNAcentral's name for it is "bacterial SSU rRNA". It matches the Rfam family "Bacterial small subunit ribosomal RNA", at positions 772 to 1302 of the family's 1533-position model. The record is from RNAcentral.
ACUCAAUAGAUACCCGGGUAGUCCACGCCGUAAACGAUGAGUGCUAAGUGUUAGAGGGUUUCCGCCCUUUAGUGCUGCAGCUAAACGCAUUAAGCACUCCGCCUGGGGAGUACGGUCGCAAGACUGAAACUCAAAGGAAUUGACGGGGGCCCGCACAAGCGGUGGAGCAUGUGGUUUAAUUCGAAGCAACGCGAAGAACCUUACCAGGUCUUGACAUCCUCUGACAACUCUAGAGAUAGAGCGUUCCCCUUCGGGGGACAGAGUGACAGGUGGUGCAUGGUUGUCGUCAGCUCGUGUCGUGAGAUGUUGGGUUAAGUCCCGCAACGAGCGCAACCCUUGAUCUUAGUUGCCAGCAUUUAGUUGGGCACUCUAAGGUGACUGCCGGUGACAAACCGGAGGAAGGUGGGGAUGACGUCAAAUCAUCAUGCCCCUUAUGACCUGGGCUACACACGUGCUACAAUGGAUGGUACAAAGGGCUGCAAGACCGCGAGGUCAAGCCAAUCCCAUAAAACCAUUCUCAGUUCGGAUUGUA